UCCAGACUCCUACGGGAGGCAGCAGUGGGGAAUAUUGCACAAUGGGCGAAAGCCUGAUGCAGCGACGCCGCGUGAGUGAAGAAGUAUUUCGGUAUGUAAAGCUCUCUCAGCAGGGAAGAAAAUGACGGUACCUGACUAAGAAGCCCCGGCUAACUACGUGCCAGCAGCCGCGGUAAUACGUAGGGGGCAAGCGUUAUCCGGAUUUACUGGGUGUAAAGGGAGCGUAGGCGGCGUAGCAAGUCUGAAGUGAAAACCCGGGGCUCAACCCUGGGACUGCUUUGGAAACUGUUUUGCUAGAGUGUCGGAGAGGUAAGUGGAAUUCCUAGUGUAGCGGUGAAAUGCGUAGAUAUUAGGAGGAAC
RNAcentral lists this ribosomal RNA (360 nucleotides) under uncultured bacterium. Its description in RNAcentral is "bacterial SSU rRNA". It matches the Rfam family "Bacterial small subunit ribosomal RNA", at positions 330 to 707 of the family's 1533-position model. The record is from RNAcentral.